This 2282-nucleotide ribosomal RNA is filed under the name uncultured Mycoplasmatota bacterium. RNAcentral describes it as "uncultured Tenericutes bacterium partial contains 16S ribosomal RNA, 16S-23S ribosomal RNA intergenic spacer, and 23S ribosomal RNA". The stretch from base 1 to 1473 matches the Rfam family "Bacterial small subunit ribosomal RNA". Lineage: Bacteria; Bacillati; Mycoplasmatota. The record is from RNAcentral.
GAUUAACGCUGGCGGCGUGCCUAAUACAUGCAAGUCGAACGGAAGUACCUUCGGGUACUUUAGUGGCGAACGGGUGAGUAAUACAUAGGUAACCUACCCUUAAGACGAGGAUAGCCAUUGGAAACGAUGGAUAAAACUGGAUAGGAUAUAGAGGAAGAAUCUUUUAUAUUUAAAAGAGAGAUCUGCUUAAGGAGGGGCCUGUGGCGCAUUAGCUAGUUGGUGGGGUAAGGGCCUACCAAGGCGAUGAUGCGUAGCCGGACUGAGAGGUUGAACGGCCACAAUGGAACUGAGAACGGUCCAUACUCCUACGGGAGGCAGCAGUAGGGAAUUUUCGGCAAUGGGGGGAACCCUGACCGAGCAACGCCGCGUGAACGAAGAAGUUAUUCGUAAUGUAAAGUUCUUUUAUCAGGGAAGAAAGAGGAAUUUGACGGUACCUGAGGAAUAAGCUCCGGCUAACUACGUGCCAGCAGCCGCGGUAAUACGUAGGGAGCGAGCGUUAUCCGGAAUUAUUGGGCGUAAAGGGUGCGUAGAUGGCAUAGUAAGUCUUUUGUAAAAAUGCUGGGCUCAACCCAGUAGGGCAAAAGAUACUGCAAAGCUAGAGUAUGACAGAGGCAAGUGGAACUACAUGUGUAGCGGUAAAAUGCGUAAAUAUAUGUAAGAACACCAGUGGCGAAGGCGGCUUGCUGGGUCGAUACUGACAUUGAGGCACGAAAGCGUGGGGAGCAAACAGGAUUAGAUACCCUGGUAGUCCACGCCCUAAACGAUGAGUACUAAGUGUUGGUGAGAAUCAGUGCUGAAGUUAACGCAUUAAGUACUCCGCCUGAGUAGUACGUACGCAAGUAUGAAACUUAAAGGAAUUGACGGGAGCCCGCACAAGCGGUGGAGCAUGUUGUUUAAUUCGACGAUACGCGAAGAACCUUACCAGGUCUUGACAUAGCACGCGAAGGCGUAGAGAUACGUUGGAGGAUAGCGUGCAUACAGGUGGUGCAUGGUUGUCGUCAGCUCGUGUCGUGAGAUGUUGGGUUAAGUCCCGCAACGAGCGCAACCCUUAUUUCUAGUUACCAGCAGUAAGAUGGGGACUCUAGAGAGACUGCCAUUGAUAAAAUGGAGGAAGGUGGGGAUGACGUCAAAUCAUCAUGCCCUAUAUGACCUGGGCUACAAACGUGCUACAAUGGCUGAAACAAAGAGAAGCGAGCCCGCGAGGGGGAGCGAACCUCAAAAAAGCAGUCUCAGUUCGGAUUGAAGUCUGCAACUCGACUUCAUGAAGAUGGAAUCGCUAGUAAUCGCGAAUCAGAAUGUCGCGGUGAAUACGUUCUCGGGCUUUGUACACACCGCCCGUCAAACCAUGAGAGUUUGUAAUACCCGAAGCCGGUGGCCUAACGAAAGAGGGAGCCGUCUAAGGUAGGACAGAUGAUUGGGGUUAAGUCGUAACAAGGUAUCCCUACGAGAACGUGGGGAUGGAUCACCUCCUUUCUAAGGAGAAAAACGAAAAAAAAGAGAAGACGAAGUUUUUUAGAAGAAGUCAUAUAUAGUUUUGAGAGACUAGAAAGAAAAGUAUAGUUUCUCAAAAGAGAGAUAACAAGAAAAGUGUGGAGGCUUUAAGAGGGGCCUAUAGCUCAGCUGGUUAGAGCGCACGCCUGAUAAGCGUGAGGUCGAUGGUUCAAGUCCAUUUAGGCCCACCAAAGGGGAUAAGGGGCUAUAGCUCAGCUGGGAGAGCGCCUGUUUUGCAAGCAGGAGGUCAGCGGUUCGAUCCCGCUUAGCUCCACCAAAAGAAAAGAGAUCUUUGAAAAGUAGAUAAAAAAGCGUAAUAAAAUGAAAAAAAAGAAGUCGAAAAAAAGGUUAAGGAAAAAAGGGCGCACAGUGGAUGCCUAGGCACUAGAAGGCGAAGAAGGACGCGACGAACGGCGAAACGCUGCGGGAAGUUGUAAGUAAACAGAACCGCAGGAAUCCGAAUGGGCAAACCCACAUACUAGGAGAGUAUGUAUCCAGCAAUGGAGGCGAGACCACCCGAAUUGAAAUAUCUUAGUAGGGUGAGGAAAAGAAAGCAAAAGCGAUUCCGAGAGUAGUGACGAGCGAAAUUGGAGGAACCACUAUACCAACAAAUUUCGUAUGAUAGAUGAAUGUUUUUGGGAAAGACAAGCGAAGAAGGUGAAACUCCUGUAAUCGAAAUCAUAGGGAGUGGGGUAUAGAAGAAGUACGGCGGGACACGAGAAAUCCUGUUGGAACGAAUAAUGAGGACCACCUCAGAAGGUUAAAUACUAGCUAGUGACCGAUAGAGAACC